This 433-nucleotide ribosomal RNA is filed under the name uncultured bacterium. Its description in RNAcentral is "partial 16S ribosomal RNA". It matches the Rfam family "Bacterial small subunit ribosomal RNA", at positions 29 to 507 of the family's 1533-position model. The record is from RNAcentral.
AACGAACGCUGGCGGCAUGCCUAACACAUGCAAGUCGAACGAGACCUUCGGGUCUAGUGGCGCACGGGUGCGUAACGCGUGGGAACCUGCCCUUAGGUUCAGAAUAACUCCCCGAAAGGGGUGCUAAUACCGGAUAAUGUCUUCGGACCAAAGAUUUAUCGCCUUUGGAUGGGCCCGCGUUGGAUUAGCUAGUUGGUAGGGUAAAAGCCUACCAAGGCGACGAUCCAUAGCUGGUCUGAGAGGAUGAUCAGCCACACUGGGACUGAGACACGGCCCAGACUCCUACGGGAGGCAGCAGUGGGGAAUAUUGGACAAUGGGCGAAAGCCUGAUCCAGCAAUGCCGCGUGAGUGAUGAAGGCAUUAGGGUUGUAAAGCUCUUUUAACCGGGAUGAUAAUGACAGUACCGGGAGAAUAAGCCCCGGCUAACUACGUG